This 1534-nucleotide ribosomal RNA is filed under the name Bacteroides uniformis. Its description in RNAcentral is "bacterial SSU rRNA". It matches the Rfam family "Bacterial small subunit ribosomal RNA". The record is from RNAcentral. Lineage: Bacteria; Pseudomonadati; Bacteroidota; Bacteroidia; Bacteroidales; Bacteroidaceae.
CUUUUACAAUGAAGAGUUUGAUCCUGGCUCAGGAUGAACGCUAGCUACAGGCUUAACACAUGCAAGUCGAGGGGCAGCAUGAACUUAGCUUGCUAAGUUUGAUGGCGACCGGCGCACGGGUGAGUAACACGUAUCCAACCUGCCGAUGACUCGGGGAUAGCCUUUCGAAAGAAAGAUUAAUACCCGAUGGCAUAGUUCUUCCGCAUGGUAGAACUAUUAAAGGAUUUCGGUCAUCGAUGGGGAUGCGUUCCAUUAGGUUGUUGGCGGGGUAACGGCCCACCAAGCCUUCGAUGGAUAGGGGUUCUGAGAGGAAGGUCCCCCACAUUGGAACUGAGACACGGUCCAAACUCCUACGGGAGGCAGCAGUGAGGAAUAUUGGUCAAUGGACGAGAGUCUGAACCAGCCAAGUAGCGUGAAGGAUGACUGCCCUAUGGGUUGUAAACUUCUUUUAUACGGGAAUAAAGUGAGGCACGUGUGCCUUUUUGUAUGUACCGUAUGAAUAAGGAUCGGCUAACUCCGUGCCAGCAGCCGCGGUAAUACGGAGGAUCCGAGCGUUAUCCGGAUUUAUUGGGUUUAAAGGGAGCGUAGGCGGACGCUUAAGUCAGUUGUGAAAGUUUGCGGCUCAACCGUAAAAUUGCAGUUGAUACUGGGUGUCUUGAGUACAGUAGAGGCAGGCGGAAUUCGUGGUGUAGCGGUGAAAUGCUUAGAUAUCACGAAGAACUCCGAUUGCGAAGGCAGCUUGCUGGACUGUAACUGACGCUGAUGCUCGAAAGUGUGGGUAUCAAACAGGAUUAGAUACCCUGGUAGUCCACACAGUAAACGAUGAAUACUCGCUGUUUGCGAUAUACAGUAAGCGGCCAAGCGAAAGCGUUAAGUAUUCCACCUGGGGAGUACGCCGGCAACGGUGAAACUCAAAGGAAUUGACGGGGGCCCGCACAAGCGGAGGAACAUGUGGUUUAAUUCGAUGAUACGCGAGGAACCUUACCCGGGCUUGAAUUGCAACUGAAUGAUGUGGAGACAUGUCAGCCGCAAGGCAGUUGUGAAGGUGCUGCAUGGUUGUCGUCAGCUCGUGCCGUGAGGUGUCGGCUUAAGUGCCAUAACGAGCGCAACCCUUAUCGAUAGUUACCAUCAGGUUAUGCUGGGGACUCUGUCGAGACUGCCGUCGUAAGAUGUGAGGAAGGUGGGGAUGACGUCAAAUCAGCACGGCCCUUACGUCCGGGGCUACACACGUGUUACAAUGGGGGGUACAGAAGGCAGCUACACGGCGACGUGAUGCUAAUCCCUAAAGCCUCUCUCAGUUCGGAUUGGAGUCUGCAACCCGACUCCAUGAAGCUGGAUUCGCUAGUAAUCGCGCAUCAGCCACGGCGCGGUGAAUACGUUCCCGGGCCUUGUACACACCGCCCGUCAAGCCAUGAAAGCCGGGGGUACCUGAAGUGCGUAACCGCAAGGAGCGCCCUAGGGUAAAACUGGUGAUUGGGGCUAAGUCGUAACAAGGUAGCCGUACCGGAAGGUGCGGCUGGAACACCUCCUUUCU